Molecule: ribosomal RNA, 701 nt
Filed under: Paenarthrobacter sp.
Lineage: Bacteria; Bacillati; Actinomycetota; Actinomycetes; Micrococcales; Micrococcaceae
Description: bacterial SSU rRNA
Rfam family: Bacterial small subunit ribosomal RNA
Source: RNAcentral
ACACAUGCAGUCGAACGAUGAUCUCCAGCUUGCUGGGGGGAUUAGUGGCGAACGGGUGAGUAACACGUGAGUAACCUGCCCUUGACUCUGGGAUAAGCCUGGGAAACUGGGUCUAAUACCGGAUAUGACUCCUCAUCGCAUGGUGGGGGGUGGAAAGCUUUUGCGGUUUUGGAUGGACUCGCGGCCUAUCAGCUUGUUGGUGGGGUAAUGGCCUACCAAGGCGACGACGGGUAGCCGGCCUGAGAGGGUGACCGGCCACACUGGGACUGAGACACGGCCCAGACUCCUACGGGAGGCAGCAGUGGGGAAUAUUGCACAAUGGGCGAAAGCCUGAUGCAGCGACGCCGCGUGAGGGAUGACGGCCUUCGGGUUGUAAACCUCUUUCAGUAGGGAAGAAGCGAAAGUGACGGUACCUGCAGAAGAAGCGCCGGCUAACUACGUGCCAGCAGCCGCGGUAAUACGUAGGGCGCAAGCGUUAUCCGGAAUUAUUGGGCGUAAAGAGCUCGUAGGCGGUUUGUCGCGUCUGCUGUGAAAGACCGGGGCUCAACUCCGGUUCUGCAGUGGGUACGGGCAGACUAGAGUGCAGUAGGGGAGACUGGAAUUCCUGGUGUAGCGGUGAAAUGCGCAGAUAUCAGGAGGAACACCGAUGGCGAAGGCAGGUCUCUGGGCUGUAACUGACGCUGAGGAGCGAAAGCAUGGGG